Magnolia sinica is the source of this 402-nucleotide long non-coding RNA. RefSeq lists it as uncharacterized. NCBI's taxonomy places the organism in Eukaryota, Viridiplantae, Streptophyta, Magnoliopsida, Magnoliales, Magnoliaceae. The transcript is spliced from 2 exons. The record is from RefSeq and is a predicted model, not a curated record.
GUAUUGAAGUGGAGUAUUCAAGUUUUGAAAUGUUGUCAAGAUUGGGCAACCUAGAGCAGCUAGACCUAAGUUGGAAUCGGUUAAAUAGAAGCAUUCUACCAUAUUUGGGCACACUCUCCUCCCUCAAGAGCCUUGAUCUAAGUUGGAAUAAUUUGGAAGGAUGCUUCCCCUCAAAAGAAUUGGCCAACUUGUGCAAACUAGAGGUUUUGGAUUUGGGAUAUAAUCAACUUAAUGGUUCCCUAUUUCUGCAAGGUAAGAGCACUUGGAUCUUUUCUAAUAGAUGUUGGAGUUGAGUGUCUUUCACAUGCACCUCAAAAUGGCAUUUGAAAAUUCACAUUCUGAGAUGCUUUUCAUGACAUUAUUCAUGCCACCACUAGUAGGAAAAUAUAUUACAUCUUUGUG